Molecule: ribosomal RNA, 476 nt
Filed under: uncultured bacterium
Lineage: Bacteria
Description: partial 16S ribosomal RNA
Rfam family: Bacterial small subunit ribosomal RNA
Source: RNAcentral
GAUGAACGCUGGCGGCGUGCUUAACACAUGCAAGUCGAGCGAGUGAGUUCUUUGGAACGAUCUAGCGGCGGACGGGUGAGUAACACGUGGGCAACCUGCCUCAUAGAGGGGAAUAGCCUCCCGAAAGGGAGAUUAAUACCGCAUAAAAUUAUCGAGUGGCAUCACAUGAUAAUCAAAGGAGCAAUCCGCUAUGAGAUGGGCCCGCGGCGCAUUAGCUAGUUGGUGAGGUAACGGCUCACCAAGGCGACGAUGCGUAGCCGACCUGAGAGGGUGAUCGGCCACAUUGGGACUGGGACACGGCCCAGACUCCUACGGAAGGCAGCAGUGGGGAAUAUUGCACAAUGGGGGAAACCCUGAUGCAGCAACGCCGGGUGAGUGAUGAAGGUCUUCGGAUUGUAAAGCUCUGUCUUUGGGGACGAUAAUGACAGUACCCAAGGAGGAAGCCACGGCUAACUACGUGCCAGCCGCCGCCGUAA